This 492-nucleotide ribosomal RNA is filed under the name uncultured bacterium. Its description in RNAcentral is "partial 16S ribosomal RNA". It matches the Rfam family "Bacterial small subunit ribosomal RNA", at positions 29 to 507 of the family's 1533-position model. The record is from RNAcentral.
AGUGAACGCUGGCGGUAGGCCUAACACAUGCAAGUCGAACGGCAGCACAGUAAGAGCUUGCUCUUACGGGUGGCGAGUGGCGGCCGGGUGAGGAAUACAUCGGAAUCUACUUUUUCGUGGGGGAUAACGUAGGGAAACUUACGCUAAUACCGCAUACGACCUACGGGUGAAAGCAGGGGAUCUUCGCACCUUGCGCGAUUGAAUGAGCCGAUGUCGGAUUAGCUAGUUGGCGGGGUAAGGGCCCACCAAGGCGACGAUCCGUAGCUGAUCUGAGAGGAUGAUCAGCCACACUAGAACUGAGACACGGUCCAGACACCUACGGGAGGCAGCAGUAGGGAAUAUUAGACAAUGGGCGCAAGCCUGAUCCAGCCAUACCGCGUGGGUGAAAAAGGCCUUCGGGUUGUAAAGCCCUUUUGUUGGGGAAGAAAAGCAGCAGGUUAAUACCCCGCUGUUCUGACGGUACCCAAAGAAUAAGCACCGGCUAACUUCGUG